RNAcentral lists this microRNA (21 nucleotides) under Ornithorhynchus anatinus (platypus). Its description in RNAcentral is "oan-miR-460-5p". Its record names the gene oan-miR-460-5p. The record is from miRBase by way of RNAcentral. RNAcentral also lists the same sequence under 1 other name. Lineage: Eukaryota; Metazoa; Chordata; Mammalia; Monotremata; Ornithorhynchidae.
CCUGCAUUGUACACACUGUGU